GAUGAACGCUAGCUACAGGCUUAACACAUGCAAGUCGAGGGGAAACGACAGAGGAAGCUUGCUUCCUUUGGGCGUCGACCGGCGCACGGGUGAGUAACGCGUAUCCAACCUUCCCGCAAGUAAGGGAUAAUCCGUAGAAAUGCGGCCUAAUACCUUAUGUUUUCCUUAGAUGGCAUCUGAUGAGGAACAAAGAUCCGUCGCUUGCGGAUGGGGAUGCGUCUGAUUAGUUAGUCGGCGGGGUAACGGCCCACCGAGACGACGAUCAGUAGGGGUUCUGAGAGGAAAGUCCCCCACAUUGGAACUGAGACACGGUCCAAACUCCUACGGGAGGCAGCAGUGAGGAAUAUUGGUCAAUGGGCGGAAGCCUGAACCAGCCAAGUAGCGUGCAGGACGACGGCCCUAUGGGUUGUAAACUGCUUUUAUAAGGGAAUAAAGUGGGUCUCGUGAGACUUUUUGCAUGUACCUUAUGAAUAAGGACCGGCUAAUUCCGUG
RNAcentral lists this ribosomal RNA (492 nucleotides) under uncultured bacterium. Its description in RNAcentral is "bacterial SSU rRNA". It matches the Rfam family "Bacterial small subunit ribosomal RNA", at positions 28 to 507 of the family's 1533-position model. The record is from RNAcentral.